RNAcentral lists this long non-coding RNA (936 nucleotides) under Hordeum vulgare. RNAcentral describes it as "long non-coding RNA (HVUL_LNC008958)". Lineage: Eukaryota; Viridiplantae; Streptophyta; Magnoliopsida; Poales; Poaceae. The record is from RNAcentral.
CAUGGUCUCAGACAAAGUGCGGCUUUUUACCAAAAAGUCGAAACUCGCUAAGCAAAGGGUAACCUCAUAAUUGGUGUUGUGGGCAAGGGAAUGAAAUGUAUUAUCAAGCUCACAAGUUUGACCAGCAAUAACACAAAAAAAACCAUUGCACCCCAAUGCCUCGAGUAAUGCAGUUCUCCAAGCUAAGCUGUGUAAUUUUCAAGCAACAGCAGAAAUCCUCUAAAUCCCCACCGACACCAACAUAAAUUCCUGACGACAUUUAGCUACACCCAGUCCUCCAGGCACCUAGCAACAUCAAUUUACUGGGAAACUGAGCAUGCAGUUGCGAGAUUAAGCCCGUUCGGAUUCAAGCGAGUAGGUUCAGCUCAACAACUACGCAUCAAACAGCUCCUAGGGUUGCUCCCGCCCAGCAACAAUCGCGCAUUAUAUAAUCCCGAAGCGAGCCACGAGCACCGGAUCCCUCAAUUGGCAGGCGCAAUCAUGCGAACCGGGAACUACGGAAACAAUUUGAUCGACUUUUUAUGGAUAAACACAUCGGAUCAGAGCAGAAACCUGAGAGGUGGUUUGGCGAAGGGUGCGGACCGACCGGCGAGCGUGCGGGGCGGAUACGCACCGGGAUACACGUCGCGCGAGGAGAGCUGCCGCUGGCAACGGCGACGACGACGGCGGCGGAUUGGCGCCGCGGAAGCAAAGGGGAGCCUGCACCCCUACCUGCGACUGCGAGGCUGGGUCGGGACCGCGCAGAACCCUAGCCGGUUGAUGUGUUGCCGUGCGCCCGGGUCCGCCGUUUUACCCGCAACCAUACCGGGGGUUCUACUAGGGUUCGUACUCGUUGCAGCCUGAACUUUGAUUUGCUACCCAACACGGACACCUCCAGGUUGUCUCUUCAAAUAUUCAUAUUCAAAUUGUAUGUACAUACUUUUUUUUAUAAUAAAA